This is a long non-coding RNA of Osmerus eperlanus (European smelt), 574 nucleotides long. RefSeq lists it as uncharacterized. The record is from RefSeq and is a predicted model, not a curated record. The transcript has 2 exons. Lineage: Eukaryota; Metazoa; Chordata; Actinopteri; Osmeriformes; Osmeridae.
CUGCCUUUCUGUCUGUCUGUAUCUUUAUGUCCAUCUGUCUGCUUGUCUGUCUAACUAUCUACCUGUCUGUCUAACUAUCUACCCGUCUGUCUAACUAUCUACCCGUCUGUCUAACUAUCUACCUGUCUGUCUAACUAUUUACCUGUCUGUCUGCCUGUCUAGAUGUCCGGCCGUCCGGCCGUCCUCCAGGCAGCCCAGCCUUCACCUGCUGUGCUCCGGGGACAUCAAGAGGAGGAGGAAGACUACCUUCCUGCCCAGCACCUCCUCAGUAUGCAUACCCUUCCUGAAAGAUGUCCUGAGAGAAGAGAUGCCAGCCUCCACCCCGGCCUCCACCCCGGCCUCCACCCCUAUGGUCAUGGCGGCUGCUGCAGUAAGGGGGCCAGGGGCCUCCACCCUUCAUCAGCUGGGCUCCUCCAGGCCUUGACAGCAGCAGGAGGUGAAGGGAGCCUUCCCAGCCUGGCUGGUGGACGGAGGCCCUAUUGGGACAAAUUAAGACACAUGGCUUAAACUCCUCCUGCUGAGUGGGAUUUUUGAGAAGGAAAAAUAUUAAAUAUAUCAAGAAUACCUGGGUUAC